CUGCAAUUGCUGUGGGUGAGGUGGCACUCUACUGCAGUCCCUGUACUUUUAUUCUAUGUUAAAGUUUGGUUUUCCAUCCUCACUGUGUUCCAUUUACAUCAUUCUGGAAUGCGAAGUGGUGCUGGCAUGAAAUUUCUCCUAAGAAACUGGAUUUACUGUGAAGAGUACAAGAUGAUUUGGUCAAGUCCCAGAAGUUUUUUUUCUAUUCGUUUACAAGGCGCAUACAUGAAUCUACUGAGGCAACAGAGAUAGGAAACCUAUGAAACUAUUUUUCAUACUUGCUUUCUGCUUAUUCUG
This is a long non-coding RNA of Anas platyrhynchos (mallard), 297 nucleotides long. RefSeq lists it as uncharacterized. Lineage: Eukaryota; Metazoa; Chordata; Aves; Anseriformes; Anatidae. The record is from RefSeq and is a predicted model, not a curated record.